Non-coding RNA from Ciona intestinalis (vase tunicate), 967 nucleotides. The record is from RefSeq and is a predicted model, not a curated record. NCBI's taxonomy places the organism in Eukaryota, Metazoa, Chordata, Ascidiacea, Phlebobranchia, Cionidae.
UCACGUAAUCCGUAUGCGAAAUCGGUAAACUGUAUGAGCAUAUUGAACAGUGCGACGUAAUUAGAUGAAAGUUUACUGUUUGAACAGCGGUUAUCGAUAUGUAAACAUGCUUAAUACUACAUGGUGGUGACUUAAUUAGUAAGGUUUUAAGCGCACCUAGGAAGUUAGUUCUGUAUUGAUAGGUAAAAGUUCAGGUAGGCUAUCCGCAGUUGAACUGACUGAAUAUAUGCAUGCGGUUAAUGUACUUCAUCUGCAAACCGCUGUUUAAGGUGCGUCAUUUUAUUUAGAAAAUGUAAUAAUGAAUAAUCCUCCUACUAACCCGCAGACCUGUCAAUUAGUGAAUUUAAAACUAAAUACUAGCCAUUGUGCAGUGCCAAAAGUGCCCGUGGUCAUAUCGGAAAGCAAAAAAAAGCAAAGAAAAAAGAAGCUUGUUCACAGUAAAACGCCCGGAAUUUGCCAAAGAUGAAAAAACUAAAAAACAUCUUUUAACACUUACAAGAUUUUUAUUGUCGGUUCGUGAUUGUGAUAAAAAGGACCAAAUAAAAAACAUGCUCUCGAGGGAAAGUGCAAUUUGAGCAGUGCAAUGUUUGCGAAGGUAUUACCGCAAAUCCAAUUCCAACUAACUAUGACAAUGUUUACUGCCAUCCUGUCAUUAUCAAUACUGACAAUACUCUGAAAGUGCAUGAAAUGUACAGAUCAAACAAUUGCCAAAUAUUUGGUAAGUAUGUGCAAGGCUGAUUAAUUCUGUGUUGAAUAUGCCAUGUUACCUCAAAGCAGGUUCUGCAGAAGAAAGUUGCUGUAAUUACUGCCAAAUGGAAAACAAAAAGAUAGCAACUGUAAACAUAGAAGCAGCACAGCAACAAGGUAGUAAGGCUGCCUUCAAUAAAUCAUAUCAAUGAAGAUCAUUUCAGCAAAAUAUUUGGUCGAAAUCAAGCAGAUCUUAAUGAAUGGCAACAGCUUUUUAUGA